UCGUGGGGUGACUUGUCUGCUCUACUGCGAUAACGAACGAGACCUCCGCGGUUAAAUGCUUCUCAUGCUAUUAGCAGAAAGGAGCUCUUAGCCGGACUGUUAGCUUUUCAAGCUAAAGGAAGGUGGAGGCAAUAACA
This 137-nucleotide ribosomal RNA is filed under the name uncultured eukaryote. RNAcentral's name for it is "partial 18S ribosomal RNA". It matches the Rfam family "Eukaryotic small subunit ribosomal RNA", at positions 1299 to 1458 of the family's 1831-position model. The record is from RNAcentral.